UACGGGGGGGGGCAAGCGUUGUUCGGAAUUACUGGGCGUAAAGGGCUCGUAGGUGGCCAACUAAGUCAUACGUGAAAUCCCUCGGCUUAACCGGGGAACUGCGUCUGAUACUGGAUGGCUUGAGAUUGGGAGAGGGAUGCGGAAUUCCAGGUGUAGCGGUGAAAUGCGCAGAUAUCAGGAGGAACACCAAUGGCGAAGGCAGCUCGCUGGGACGGUACUGACGCUGAGGAGCGAAAGCAUGGGGGAGCGAACAGG
This 255-nucleotide ribosomal RNA is filed under the name uncultured bacterium. Its description in RNAcentral is "partial 16S ribosomal RNA". It matches the Rfam family "Bacterial small subunit ribosomal RNA", at positions 524 to 776 of the family's 1533-position model. The record is from RNAcentral.